ACAGGCUUAACACAUGCAAGUCGAGGGGCAUCGGGAAGAAAGCUUGCUUUCUUUGUCGGCGACCGGCGCACGGGUGAGUAACACGUAUCCAACCUGCCCUUUACUCGGGGAUAGCCUUUCGAAAGAAAGAUUAAUACCCGAUAGCAUAAUGAUUCCGCAUGGUUUCAUUAUUAAAGGAUUCCGGUAAAGGAUGGGGAUGCGUUCCAUUAGGUUGUUGGUGAGGUAACGGCCCACCAAGCCUUCGAUGGAUAGGGGUUCUGAGAGGAAGGUCCCCCACAUUGGAACUGAGACACGGUCCAAACUCCUACGGGAGGCAGCAGUGAGGAAUAUUGGUCAAUGGGCGCUAGCCUGAACCAGCCA
RNAcentral lists this ribosomal RNA (360 nucleotides) under uncultured bacterium. RNAcentral's name for it is "bacterial SSU rRNA". It matches the Rfam family "Bacterial small subunit ribosomal RNA", at positions 43 to 394 of the family's 1533-position model. The record is from RNAcentral.